Molecule: ribosomal RNA, 433 nt
Filed under: uncultured bacterium
Lineage: Bacteria
Description: partial 16S ribosomal RNA
Rfam family: Bacterial small subunit ribosomal RNA
Source: RNAcentral
AACGAACGCUGGCGGCAUGCCUAACACAUGCAAGUCGAACGAGACCUUCGGGUCUAGUGGCGCACGGGUGCGUAACGCGUGGGAACCUGCCUUUAGGUUCGGAAUAACACAGAGAAAUUUGAGCUAAUACCGGAUGAUGUCUUCGGACCAAAGAUUUAUCGCCUUUAGAUGGGCCCGCGUUGGAUUAGCUAGUUGGUGGGGUAAGGGCCUACCAAGGCGACGAUCCAUAGCUGGUCUGAGAGGAUGAUCAGCCACACUGGGACUGAGACACGGCCCAGACUCCUACGGGAGGCAGCAGUGGGGAAUAUUGGACAAUGGGCGAAAGCCUGAUCCAGCAAUGCCGCGUGAGUGAUGAAGGCCUUAGGGUUGUAAAGCUCUUUUACCCGAGAUGAUAAUGACAGUAUCGGGAGAAUAAGCUCCGGCUAACUCCGUG